This 1419-nucleotide long non-coding RNA is filed under the name Oncorhynchus kisutch (coho salmon). Its description in RNAcentral is "lncRNA (ENSOKIG00005033545.1)". Lineage: Eukaryota; Metazoa; Chordata; Actinopteri; Salmoniformes; Salmonidae. The record is from RNAcentral.
GAAUAGGUAAUAAGUCAAGAGUUACCACUCUGACUAGGUAAUAAGUCAAGAGUUACCACUGGUUUGAGAAAGUGUGUUUGUGUGUGUGUACAGGUUGGGGCCAGUGAAUGGUCCUCUGGCGCUCCCUAAGCUCCUGGAGCUGCUGCCAGCCCUGCACAGUCUACAUCACCUGGAGUAAGUACCGCUCUACUGAUGGACCACGGGACAACGGCUUUCACUUUAUUACGCUGUCGGUCGAAUCUCUCUGUCGGUCUAAUCUCUCUGUCUCUCUCACCCAGUCUGGAGAACAGUAAACUGGGGGACAGUGGGCUGAGGGGCUGGCUGGAGCUGUGCUGUCUCUCUCCUCUCUGCAGAUUAUCAAGUAAGAAACCUCACACUGAGCUCUCUACUGUCUAGAUCAACCUGUUCAUCACUGAGCCCUCUACUCUCUAGAUCAACCUGUUCAUCACUGAGCUCUCUAGACUCUAGAUCAACCAUCAACCUGUUCAUCACUGAGCUCUCUUGUCUCUAGAUCAACCUGUCCGUCACUGAGCUCUCUAGAUAAAAUCUAUCUGUAGAUCUCUGGGGUCAUUAUGACCCAGAAAAGGUUGGAGACCUCUGCCCUAGAUAAUAUCUAUCUGCACUAUCAUUCAGCACACUAUCAUUCAGCACAGCAUACUGUGCUUUUGUUAACAAUGUUUAUGGUCUCUCCUCCUCUCUCCUCCUCUCCCCUCCUUUCCUUUCUCCUCCCCUCCUCUCUUCUUCUCCCCUCCUCUCUUCUUUUCUCCUCUCUCUUCCUCUUCUCCCCACUCUCCUCCUCUCCGCCCCUCCUCCUUUCUCCCCACUCUCCUCCUAUCCUCCCCUCCUCUCUUCUUCUCUUCCCUCCUCUCCUUUCUCCCCUCCUCUCCUUUCUCCCCUCCUCCUCUCCUUUCUCUUCCCCUUCUCUCCUUUCUCCCCUCCUCCUCCCCUUCUCUCCUUUCUCCCCUCCUCCUCUCCUUUCUCCUCCCUUCUCUCCUUUCUUCUCCUCUCCUCUCCUCCUCUUCUUUCCUUUCUCCUCCCCUCUUCUUCUCUUCCCUCUCCUCCCCUCCUCUCCUCCUCUUUCUCCUCCUCUCCUCCUUUCCUCUCCUCCCCUCCUCUCCUCUCCUCUCUUCUCCUCUCUUCUCUUCUCUUCUCUUCUCUUCUCUUCUCUUCUCUUCUCUCAGUCUGUCCCAGAACUGUAUAGGAGACCAGGGAAUAAGGAGUCUGGCUCCUGCUCUGUCUACCCUCCCCUCACUGCACUGUCUCAGUCUGUACAGUAAUGUGAUAUCUGACGGGGGGUGCUGAGAGUCUGGCUGCUGUUUUACCUCAGAUGACAUCACUCAGUGACCUGGAGUAAGUUUUAAUUAUAAAACUAUACUGCAGUAAAUCUGAAUUAUAAAACAUGACUGCAGUAAUAAUGCA